GCAUUAAUGGGGUAGUGGUAACCUGGGUCGUUGCCAGAAAGAACUUGGUAAUCGUUGAGUUCGACCCGCCGGGGGUUCGAUUCCCUCUUAAUGCA
This is a non-coding RNA of Mycena metata, 95 nucleotides long. The record is from the annotation of a GenBank genome assembly. Lineage: Eukaryota; Fungi; Basidiomycota; Agaricomycetes; Agaricales; Mycenaceae.